Long non-coding RNA from Asterias rubens (European starfish), 823 nucleotides. RefSeq lists it as uncharacterized. NCBI's taxonomy places the organism in Eukaryota, Metazoa, Echinodermata, Asteroidea, Forcipulatida, Asteriidae. The record is from RefSeq and is a predicted model, not a curated record. The transcript has 4 exons.
CGAAAGACCUAUCUUCGAAAUGCAAGGAUUGCAAAAGUUCAAACCUCAAAUAUAUAUUAUUUAGCCUAUCUAAUAUGGAUUUUUGAAAACAACAAAGUAAUUUUAACUUUUAAAAGGCAAAAACACCAGCUAACAUAAACCUAGCGCCCUUUUUUAUGUUCCUCAAAAGAGGGCGUCAAACACGAGUGGUCCACGCGAGGCUGAAGCCGAACUAUUGUGACAAUCACAACAAGUUGGCUACCCAGGAUAUCCACCACGUCUUCUUUUGGCAAAGUAUUAACUGGAUAAUGGACUAUCCAUGCAAUACUACAUGUACCCUCCUACUAGAAUGGAGUAGGCCACCAGAGACAGGGUCCAGAUAUUCUUGAUGACUCUCUCCAUUUAAACGCUUUUGUUUUGCCGAAACAUUGGAGGAACAGCUCACAGGGUAGCUGCCCUCAUGUGCGAUACAGUUUCCUCUUGAUUUCCACCCGACAGGGAUAAUUUUGGUAGUCAGCCUUCACAGUCAAGAUGCUUAGCAAAAACAGACACUUGGGUGAUGCGGUCUGAAACAGGGAGAAGAUGCUAUGUGCCAGAGAUGUAGCUAGUGCCAUGGAAAAGGGAAUUACCUCUACUGACAUUUUGAAGGCUACAGGGUGAGCAACGAUUGUGUACAUUACAAUCAUCAAGACCUCUUAGCUGUUCAUCUAGCUAGUUCGGUGAAUGAACAAGCAAAGUGAUAGGGACCACUAUGAACAACCCAACCAAGUCCUUAUCACUAUGUUUUUAAAGGAACACGUUGCCUUGGAUCGGUCGAGUUGGUCUUUGAAAAGCGUUUGUUAUC